This 436-nucleotide ribosomal RNA is filed under the name Staphylococcus aureus. Its description in RNAcentral is "partial 23S ribosomal RNA". It matches the Rfam family "Bacterial large subunit ribosomal RNA", at positions 40 to 469 of the family's 2925-position model. Lineage: Bacteria; Bacillati; Bacillota; Bacilli; Caryophanales; Staphylococcaceae. The record is from RNAcentral.
UAGAAGCCGAUGAAGGACGUUACUAACGACGAUAUGCUUUGGGGAGCUGUAAGUAAGCUUUGAUCCAGAGAUUUCCGAAUGGGGAAACCCAGCAUGAGUUAUGUCAUGUUAUCGAUAUGUGAAUACAUAGCAUAUCAGAAGGCACACCCGGAGAACUGAAACAUCUUAGUACCCGGAGGAAGAGAAAGAAAAUUCGAUUCCCUUAGUAGCGGCGAGCGAAACGGGAAGAGCCCAAACCAACAAGCUUGCUUGUUGGGGUUGUAGGACACUCUAUACGGAGUUACAAAGGACGACAUUAGACGAAUCAUCUGGAAAGAUGAAUCAAAGAAGGUAAUAAUCCUGUAGUCGAAAAUGUUGUCUCUCUUGAGUGGAUCCUGAGUACGACGGAGCACGUGAAAUUCCGUCGGAAUCUGGGAGGACCAUCUCCUAAGGCUAA